UCAUUUGAUCCCCUAAUUAAUUUGCAAUUUUUAUUUUGGUCCUAUAACUUAUAAAACCCACGUUUCGGUCCCUCAAUUAUACGUUCGUCAGUCAAAUUGGUCCUGUUCCGUUAAUUUUAACUCCAAAUAUCUAAGAUGGACCAACAUUGUAUGUGGUCUACCAUAGACCAUAUUAAUUUUUUAAUUUUAUCCAUUUGAUCUAUUUUUGAAAACAGGAACCAUUUGAUCAUAUAUGUCUAUUGUAUCUACGAUGAACCAUCAACAACUAAUUAUUUUCCCCUUUCUUC
This 287-nucleotide long non-coding RNA is filed under the name Medicago truncatula (barrel medic). RNAcentral describes it as "long non-coding RNA (MTRU_LNC008138)". The record is from RNAcentral. Lineage: Eukaryota; Viridiplantae; Streptophyta; Magnoliopsida; Fabales; Fabaceae.